GACGAACGCUGGCGGCGUGCUUAACACAUGCAAGUCGAGCGGUAAGGCCCUUUCGGGGGUACGACGAGCGGCGAACGGGUGAGUAACACGUGGGUGACCUGCCCUCAGCUCUGGGAUAAGCCUGGGAAACCGGGUCUAAUACUGGAUAUGACUCCAUGACGCAUGUUGUGGGGUGGAAAGCCUUGUGCGGCUGAGGAUGGGCCCGCGGCCUAUCAGCUUGUUGGUGGGGUGANGGCCUACCAAGGCGACGACGGGUAGCCGGCCUGAGAGGGCGACCGGCCACACUGGGACUGAGACACGGCCCAGACUCCUACGGGAGGCAGCAGUGGGGAAGUCUUGCGCAAUGGGCGAAAGCCUGACGCAGCGACGCCGCGUGAGGGAUGACGGCCUCGG
This 393-nucleotide ribosomal RNA is filed under the name uncultured bacterium. Its description in RNAcentral is "bacterial SSU rRNA". It matches the Rfam family "Bacterial small subunit ribosomal RNA", at positions 28 to 420 of the family's 1533-position model. The record is from RNAcentral.